GAGUAUCGAUCUCGUGAUAGUGUUGUUCUUCACACCUCGAUCAUUUUUUGGAUCAUCGAUAGAAAUUCUUUAGUCAUAUUUGUAGUUGUCUCACACCAGACACUCAUGUGACUCUAGAGAUUCUAUCGUAUAUCCAAAUUUUGAUUGUCGCCAUAUGAUUGUGUAUCAUACCCUGUCAUGUGUUGAGUUGUGUUGUAUCAUGCAUUGGUCAUUGUUCGUUACAUCUCGUGUCGUUGCAUGAGUCGUGUUUGAGUCGUUUUGUUUGAUUCUUUUGUAGGAGUCUAUUUGUAGUCCCAGUCUUGGUUCAGUGCCCUGGGUUGAGUCGGAGGUUGAUUCGUAUUGCUGAGUUGCUAUAGACGGAUUCACAGUCAUUUUCGAUUGGCUAGCUUAUCGCUUCUGUGGUUUCGAUUCAGGGGGCAUUGACCAGUUUGAGUUAGAGGAUGGAUAGUCAGCCGAGUAGGCAUGUAGUGCUUGAGGACACACCAUCUGAUUUAGUG
This 497-nucleotide long non-coding RNA is filed under the name Vitis vinifera (wine grape). Its description in RNAcentral is "long non-coding RNA (VVIN_LNC004141)". The record is from RNAcentral. Lineage: Eukaryota; Viridiplantae; Streptophyta; Magnoliopsida; Vitales; Vitaceae.